UCCUUGGUGGCUCAGAUGGUAAAGCGUCUGCUUAUAGUGCAGGAGACCUGGGUUCGAUCCCUGGGUUGGGAA
Molecule: transfer RNA, 72 nt
Filed under: Bos taurus (domestic cattle)
Lineage: Eukaryota; Metazoa; Chordata; Mammalia; Artiodactyla; Bovidae
Also listed under: 2 other names
Rfam family: tRNA
About the family: Transfer RNA (tRNA) molecules are approximately 80 nucleotides in length. Their secondary structure includes four short double-helical elements and three loops (D, anti-codon, and T loops).
Source: Rfam by way of RNAcentral